UCGACGGUGAGGGGCGAAGCCUAGGGGCACGAACCGGAUUAGAUACCCGGGUAGUCCUAGGUGUAAACGCUGUGGACUUGGUGUUGGGGAUUCUCCGAGGAUUCUCAGUGCCGAAGCGAAGGUGAUAAGUCCACUGCCUGGGGAGUACGGUCGCAAGGCUGAAACUUAAAGGAAUUGGCGGGGGAGCACCGCAACCUGAGGAUUGUGCGGUUUAAUUGGAUUCAACGCCGGAAAACUCACCAUAGCCGACGGACAUAUGAAGGCCAGCGUAAUGAGCUUGCUGGAUUGUUCGAGAGGUAGUGCAUGGCCGUCGUCAGUUCGUACCGCAAGGCGUUCUGUUAAGUCAGAUAACGAACGAGACCCUCAUCCCUAUUUGCCAAGAUCUGUCCGCAGAUCACGGGACUAUAGGGAGACCGCUGGCGCGAAGUCAGAGGAAGGCGAGGGCAACGGUAGGUCAGUAUGCUCCGAAUGCUAUGGGCUACACGCGCAAUACAAAGGACGGGACAAUGGGCUGCAACUCCGAGAGGAAUGACGCUAUCCCGAAACCCGUUCGUAGUUCGGAUUGAGGGCUGUAACUCGCCCUCAUGAAGCUGGAUUAGGUAGUAAUCGCGUCUCAAAAAGGCGCGGUGAAUAUGCCCCUGCUCCUUGCACACACCGCCCGU
Molecule: ribosomal RNA, 662 nt
Filed under: uncultured archaeon
Lineage: Archaea
Description: bacterial SSU rRNA
Rfam family: Archaeal small subunit ribosomal RNA
Source: RNAcentral